RNAcentral lists this ribosomal RNA (465 nucleotides) under Vreelandella stevensii. RNAcentral's name for it is "partial 16S ribosomal RNA". It matches the Rfam family "Bacterial small subunit ribosomal RNA", at positions 338 to 795 of the family's 1533-position model. The record is from RNAcentral. Lineage: Bacteria; Pseudomonadati; Pseudomonadota; Gammaproteobacteria; Oceanospirillales; Halomonadaceae.
CCUACGGGUGGCAGCAGUGGGGAAUAUUGGACAAUGGGGGGAACCCUGAUCCAGCCAUGCCGCGUGUGUGAAGAAGGCCCUCGGGUUGUAAAGCACUUUCAGUGAGGAAGAACGCCUGGUGGUUAAUACCCAUCAGGAAAGACAUCACUCACAGAAGAAGCACCGGCUAACUCCGUGCCAGCAGCCGCGGUAAUACGGAGGGUGCGAGCGUUAAUCGGAAUUACUGGGCGUAAAGCGCGCGUAGGUGGCUUGAUAAGCCGGUUGUGAAAGCCCCGGGCUCAACCUGGGAACGGCAUCCGGAACUGUCAAGCUAGAGUGCAGGAGAGGAAGGUAGAAUUCCCGGUGUAGCGGUGAAAUGCGUAGAGAUCGGGAGGAAUACCAGUGGCGAAGGCGGCCUUCUGGACUGACUCUGACACUGAGGUGCGAAAGCGUGGGUAGCAAACAGGAUUAGAUACCCUUGUAGUC